GUAAAAUUAGUUUAUAAAAAAUACUGAAUUGUGGAUUCAGAGAAAAAUAAUUCGAUUUAUUUUACU
Molecule: transfer RNA, 66 nt
Filed under: Opisthoteuthis grimaldii
Lineage: Eukaryota; Metazoa; Mollusca; Cephalopoda; Octopoda; Opisthoteuthidae
Description: tRNA-His
Source: RNAcentral